UGAAGCUUCUUCUAUCAUUUCAUAUACAAGGUAAAUAAAAAAAAUAUUGAGAUUUUACAAUUCAUUAUAAAAUAAUAAUAGCAGUAUGUUGCAACAGAUGGAUAGUCUGUUGUCAUAAAUUAACAUUAUGUUGCCACAUAUGUACCUGCUGUUGCAACACAUAAAAUUUCUGUCGCAACAUAUAGAUCUUAUGUAGUAACAGAUGAAUCAUAUGUUGACACAAAUGUAAAGAUUAUUGCAAUAUUUGAAUCUAAUGUGGCAACAGAUGACCAUUUUGUUGACAUAAAGUGAGAUGUUACAACAUAUGAUAACUAUUUGAAUAUGCACCAACAUAUCACUAAAAUGUUACAACAUACGCUAAAUAUUUCAACAAAUGAAAUAUAUUUUGGACGCCUGAACAACACUAUAUUUCUAAAAUCAUAUCAACAAAAUGACCACAAAAAGAACAACAACAGCAACAAAAAACGACUUUUCACUUAAUGAUAACAAAACAUAUACAUUUCCUCAAAAUAAGGAUUUUUUGAGUUGACUGAUUUUCUUUCAAAAAUAAUAAAUAAUACACACCAUUAAGUCGAUUAUUCAAGUUUUACAUCUACCAAACCUUUUAUUGGUCAUUAAUCCAAGAAAAAAACUUUAAAAAUUGUAAAACAUUUCAAAAAAAAUAACUUACCCAUUUCUUGUCGAACACGAUUACAGUUCAGGAAGAUGAGAGAGUAAUGGAGGACUGGAGAGGAAGAGUAACAAAUGGAGAGAAAGAGUAACGAUGGAUUUCCGAAUUUCUAAGGAAGAAGAAGAACAAUCCCCCCAAGGGAGGAAGAAAAGAAGAGAGAGUAGAGAGAAUGGAAGAUGAGAAGUUUUUUCUUUUUAAAUGAUUUGGUUUGAAUUAUAAAAAUGUGCUUUUUUGAAUUUUAUUAAAGAUUAGAAAGUUUUAAAAAUAUUAAUUUGGUGCUAUAUUUAUUUAAUUACAUUUUAAAAAGAAUUUGACCAGCUCAUGGCCAAUCUGUCACCAAAAACAAAAACGAGACUUAUAUGACACCUUUCCCUUAAUUUUCUCCACAAACUAAACCUAGAAAAUUCUAGCUUAUGGACAUGACUGUAAAGUCAUCAAAAAGAGGACCUGAAGAAGAUCAAGCUCCUUCCUAAAUCCUCCAAAUAAAGGUAGAUUUAAGGAGGUUCUUUCAUUCUUUUUGUUUUCCUUCUCCGAAAGAUUGCCAUUCCAGUUUUGUCUAGUUGGUAAUAAGCUGCUGCUUCUUUUGGAACUUGCUGGAUGUUGAAGUAGACCUGUGGAUUGGUGAUCUUGUGACUAUACUUUGAGAGUGCAUCAGCUACAUAGUUAUCCUCUCGAAGUGUGUGAAUGCAAAUGAAGUGCUGGACUUGGUUGAUGAUGUUUUGCAGUUUUCGAAUCUGAUUAGAAAUGUUCCAAGGGGGAGAACUUUUUCUCUGUAUUCAAUCAAUUAGCAGUUGAAAGUCGACUUCCAGAAUGACAUAGUUGAUUUUUAAGUGAAAACACCAUGACAUCCCAAAAAUUGCAGGCUCAACUUCAGCUUGAUCUUUCGUACCUUCACUAAGAAGUAUUGCAUAUGCUAUAAUCAGAUCUCCACUGGAACUUCUGAGGAUGCCACCAGCCCCUAUUUUUCCUGGAUUAUUCAAUGCACUACCAUCUGCAUUAAGUUUAAUCCAAUGAUUUUGAGGUUUGAUCCAUUUUACUAAGGUAACCUUUGUAUCAUGUAUAAAAACCUCAAUCAUAGAUACUAAUGUUUUCCAUCUUGCAGACCAUUGGAUGUAUGGAAUACAUUGUGUAGGAGUCUGAAAGUGUCUUUGAAAGCAACAAAUUUAACUCUAGCCAUGUUAGACUGUUUUCUUCCAUACUUCAUGGCACAUCUAUUUUUCCACAACUUCCAACAAAUGAAGAUGGGUGUGGACUGCAAAACGAGUUUGUGCACUUCAUUUUUGUAUUCAUUGGACCACCAUCUCAUAAGCAAGUAGGUUAGUGGUAAACAAUCUGUUUGGAUACCCAAAGAAUCUGCAAAAAAUCUCCACACAUACUUGGCAAAAUUUCCAGGAUUAAAAAUAUGUUCGAUGGUGUCCAUUUCUGUCAUAUUGUAGCAGUAGCAUGUUGAAGGUUCACCUCCAAAUAUGCAGAUGUUUUCAUUGAUGAACAAGUGAAUUCCCCAUUGGUAUUAACGUUCCAGAUAGGCAGGUCUGGUACUCCCUGCUGCAGCUGGACCUCAGUGGCUAAAAUGGCAUGGACAUGUGCUGAAGGAGCUUGCUGAAUGACCUUUUCCAUGUUCCAUUGACCAUUCUCCAUGAAGUCUGCAAUGGUAUUAUUAUUGAAUCUGUUGCUCUCAUUGGUAUAUUGUGCAAAAAGCCCCACUCCUAGCCAGUUAUCGCACCAAAAGGAAUAGGUCCCUGAUCUGUUUUUCCAUUGAAUAUAGGCUUCAAUGGUAUGUUUGUGUCUCAUCAUGUGCCUCCAAGAUUGAGAGUCUCCUGUAUCCCACUUUUUGCUAAUAGGAUUAGAUCUUUGACAUUACUUUGCUUUUAAGAAAUUGCCCCACAAAGUUCACCAUUGCUAGUAUUGAAAUGACUUACAUAUAUCACUCAAUUGUUUAACUCUAAAUCCCCUUUAUUCAAGCGAAAAGCUGAGGUUCUUCCAUGAGAACCAGUGAUAUUUCUUUUUAUUUUUUUUGCAUACCCAAGAAAAAGUAUUACAUGAUACUUUGAAUCUGGUUGAUGGUGGUGGAGGGAGGUGAUAGUGCUGAUAAGAUGUAAUGGGGAGGGACUGUAACAUAUGCUUGAUCAGUGUUGCUUUCCCUCCAUAACUUAACAUCUUAGUUUGCCAUCCUGUAAUCGUGUUUACCACCUUGUUGAUCAAUUCUGAGAAUUAUAUAACUCUUGCCCUACCAAUGAAAAUAGGGCAGCUAAGAUAGGUGAUAUGACCCUCCUUCUGAUUGAAGCCUGUAACACUUUUGAUUUUAUCAAUAGUGCUAUUGAAUGAGGUUGCUGGGAUCAUAAAGUGACUUUUGGUUUGGUUUAUGAGUUUCCCAGAGACUCUCUCAUAAAUACCUAAAGUGGGCAUGAUUAGCUUGAGAGACUUCUUUCGACCUGAGGUGAUUGAUAUGAGGGCCUCUCAGUUUAUGUAGAAACCAUUGUAAGAUGGAUGGUGAUGAAUAUUUUUGAGUGAUCUUGAUAAAACUUCAGCACCUAAAAUAAAUAGAAGUGGAGAGAAUGGGUCAUCUUGUUUCACAGCCCUCGUGGAAUGGAAAAAACCAUGCCUGGUGCCAUUAAUAAUGAUUGAAUAUCAGUUAUUACCCAUGAUUCUCUAGGCCAUAUCAAUGAAUUCUUCAUCAAACCCCAUCUUUCUCAACACAAUACAGAUAAAGGACCAUGAGACCCUAUCAUAGUCCUUUGCCGUGUCUAAUUUAAUAACCACAUUUCCACCAAUAAUAGGUUUCUUUAUUUGAUGAAUAAUUUUCUAUGCUAACGUAAUAUUUUCAGAUUUACUCCUUCCCCUGACAAACCCUGAUUGAUUUGGGGAAAUCAAAUAAUGCAGAAUGGGGCCAGCCUUAGUGUUAACAACUUGGAGAUAAUGGUGUUGGAACAAUUUCUUAAGCUGAUAGGUAUGAAUUCUAACAUCCUGUUGCGGUUGCUCACUUUAGGAAGUAGAACUAAACAAGCAUGAGAGAAAUAUUUAGGAAGCAUCCUCCCACUGAAGAAAGACAAGAUCACCUGCAGAAGGUCAUCCUUGAUAACAGACUAACACUUUUGGAAAUUUCAACCAUUCAUGCCAUCUGGUCCUGCAGCGGAGUUUGGGACAAUGAUAAGAUCCUAUAAAAGGCAGGUGAGUAAUGCUUGUGUGAAGCAUGAUUUCCAACCAUCUAUCAUUGACCAUUGCUCUAUCAAGUCUCUUCCAAAUUCUGAAAUUGAUGCUUUUGUGAUUUGACCAUGUGAAUUUCUGUCCAUUGAAGCCCAAGUCAAUCAGUCCACAAGCCUCAACGAUGUUAAUGAACUCCAAACUUUUUCUAAUAUCGUAAAGGAUACCACCUAGUUUUUCUUUUGUAGAAGUGAUGACAUUAAAGUCUCCAACUGCACACCAAGGAGUGGAGUGUGCAAUUUCAGCAUAAUGUAACAUCCUUUCCCAUAAGGAUCUUCUAAGGUGAUCCUUACAUUGUGCAUAAACCAAAGUAUUUAUGAAGGUAUUUGGAGAUUCAACAUGACUAAAUUCACAAGCAAUAUGUUGUUCAUGAGUUUCCAACACUUUACAAGUCAUGCCAAGACUCCAAAAAAUUUAAAUUUUCCCAUUACUGUUGCUUACUGCCUGAUCCAUGCCAAGUUUAUUUUUGAGAAGUUGACUUUGUGUCUUGUCUGAAAAAGGUUCCAAAACCACAAUCACUGAUAGGUGAUGAAUGUUUCUGAGGUUUUUGAGUCUUUCCACCACACCUUGGGUAUUGAUCCCUCUUACAUUCCAAUUUUGUACUUAUCAUUGGGAAAGAUCUAAAGGUAAAGAACCUAGUGUUUGGUCUUCUGACAGGAAUAGGAUCAUAAACUCUUUUGACGAGAAUUCAUUCCAAGUGUAUGCCUCUGGGGAGAGACCUUGUGUAUUGGUAACUUCUUGUAAUUCUUUUUCCAACUCUGUAUCAUUAGCAGGACUGAAGGCUUUGAUCAAUAAUUCGCUAGUCUCAUCAUCUUCAUCCUGAGCAUUUAUGGGUUGAUUGUCUUCAUCUAUCUCAUCUUCUGAAUUUUCAACCUCAUACUCGUCCCUUGGUUGUCUUGAUGUUUGCAAUUUUGUCUGAUCCAGAGGUUUGCUGGGGGUGGAAGUGUUGUAUUGAGAUUUCAAAGGGACCACAUCCAUGGUUGGUUGUUCAACCAUGAUGAAUUUCUUACAAGCAUUUAUUCCCAUAGUUCCAUCAUUCAAAGUCUGUUCCUUGUUUAGUUCUUGAACCUUUUUCUUUUUGAUUGCCUCUCCAUUUUCUUACUUGGUUUAUUUUUGGUCUUUGGAGUGUUCUCAUGUCCACUAGUACUAGCUUUGUUUCCCAUGUCUAUUGCCAUAUAACCUUUGGGUUGUUCAUGCUUUUCUUUAUUACUAUGAACUUGUUGACUUUAUUGUGGAUUUGUUCAUGAACCUGAACUUGCUUUCCUUGGGGAGUCUUUACAGUGGAAGUAGGAGCUUGAAUCAUAGCCCUCCCUUUAGGUUCCCCUUGAGUUUUCCAUUGUUCCUCCUUGUGGGUGUUACUCAUAGUAUUUGGUUCACUUGCUUGAGUCUGAUUUCCUGUCUGUAUUUCUUUAGGGUCUUCCCCUUGUGUCUGAUUAUUUUUGGUUCCUUUAUUGUGUUGUUUAUCUUGUCCUUCCUUUCUAGCUUCCGUUUAUUUUCUUUGCUUGACUUCUUCAUAUUUUGUCUUCAUAGGGCAUGUUCCAACAAAGUUACCUUGCUGUUUACAGUAGAGGCAAUAUGGUGGCACUUCUUCAUAUUCAAUAAUUUGCCACUUGCCUCUAGUUAGAUUUUUUCAUAGAAUAUCCCAGCCCCACAUGUCUAGGUUUUUCCUUGGUAAGGUCUACUUGUAUUCGGACUUUUGCCACACUGCCCCUGGUUUUCUGCAUAGUUGUUGCGUCAAGAUAUAAAGCUUUGCCAAUAGGUGACAUCACAGGAGUCAGCGUAUUGAUAUAGUAAAAAUGCCAAGGUAGCUCAGGUAAUGUGAUCCAAAUAGAGACCACCGGAGUCUCCUUUUCUGGUUUAAAUUCUGGAUUCCACAUUUGUAUUUUCAUUGAGUGACAUGCAAUAAACAUUUUUUGCUUUGUCCAAACAUUGAUGUGGUCAACUUUGAUAUCAAAAUCAAUGUAAAUAUGCCUCGAGUUGUAAUGUGCAAUCUUAACAUUUCCAAUAAGGUGAGUUUCAGUGAUAAAUCUUUUUCCGAUCACCUCCAUUUUGGGCAUGGAGUUAAUGAACUUACCCACCAAUGUGUACCUGCAUAUGCCAGCCAUUUUAUUCAUAAAAUGCUCUUCAUGAAAUGUUAUAGAUGGAUAUCCUGCUAAGUGGUGAUAAUUGGGGGAAGUAUGUUUACAUGAGAGGCAUUACCGUUUUGGAUAGCUGUCAACCUUUUUGCUAGAGUUUGUGCCAUAGUUGUGUGCGUGUGUGUGAGGGGGGGGGAGGAGGAUCAGGGAUUUGGAUGGUGUGGUUUCUGUUAAUAGAGCUGUUGGUAGGAAAUUUGUGCUGUUGUUACUUUGGUUGGUCUUUUGCCUGUUUGGUCUAUAAGUAUCAACGUUAGAAGACACCUUGAUAGAGGGACGGAUUUUCGGAACCACCAUACUAUUUUCCUUGUUAUUUUUCUGUUCAUACUGCCCCUAUUCAACAGCCUUCACAACAUGUUUACCCUUCGCAUGCUCAUUUUAACUAGCAAGUUUUGUAUUAUUUCGGGAAUAUUACUAUGAUCAUGGGGCAUUUGCAAGUUAUGAAGUAACAUACCUGUCCUUUUCGUGUUAUUGGUGUUUGGAUGGUUUUCUGUACCAUGGUUGACUUGUUGAAUGUCAAUCUCAUUGGAGUUGCUGUUGGCCUUGGCUUUCCCAUUUAUGUUUUGCUGAUCACCUGCGCACAAAGACGGAUUUUCAGCUUGUAAAUUGAUUCUUUUGGAACUUACCUCCUUGUUGUUAUUUUGGUUCAAUUCUUGCAUCUUGUCCUGAUCUUUGUGAGCAUCAUGUGAACUACCAAAGUUGUGAAUUUUCUUAGAACUUGUCUCAUUUUGCACUGUUAAUUUCGUAGGUGGAUUUCCCUUGUGCUCUGUUGCAAAAUAGUCAUCCUUGCCUCUUUGUGUUGAUUUUUGCUCCAUCUUCGAGCUUCUUGUUUGCCUGAGCAACGGCGAGUUUGCCUGAAUCUUCGCCGAAAUUAUUUCGUGUGUUCUCAUCGGUAUUACUUACAUAUUUGAAUGCGCUGAGUUGAGGCGAGUCCAAAUUAGUAUUUUGUUAUCCCUGAAUCUCAGUCAUAUCCGGCGAAACUUCAUUUGAGUUUUAAGGCGAUUUUGGCGAUUCUCCCCAAAAUUCGCUUGAUCAGAUCUCUCAAACAGAAAGAUAGAAUCACGUGAUUUUGAGAUAUUAGGUAGAUCUGGUAGUUUAGAUUCUUUUCCAUCAAUUGGAACAAGCUGAAUUAGUCCAGAUUUUGCCAUGGAAAUGAUUUCAUGUGCCCACUGUAACUCCUCUUCAGAAAGAUUAACAGUGAUCACUACGUUGUGAUUCAAAUUCGAGGAGUUGUGGUUUGAAUUUGAGGGUGUUUAUUGUUGGAGAAGAAGCGUCUCCUCAAUAGGUAUAUUUCCGCUUUGCUCUGGAGGUCGUAUGAUGGUCAGCGGCGGCUCUAUGGCCAUUCCGGUGGAACUGUAUAUUACGCUCUUAGUGACCCUUAGGCAGAAUCCUUAGGAGCAAAAUUUUAGAGAGGGAGAGAGCGUAGAAAGAGAAAAAAAUCUUGAAAUGGGAAAGGGAUGGAUCUUGGGUAUUAGGAUAUUGGGUUAUUGGGUAUGAUAUAAUCUGAAUAAUUAGACCUUUGAUUGUUGAUCCUUGCGUAUAUUAAUUGUUGUAGACCUAGAACGAGUGGAAAGAAUCCAUGUAGAGAAGAUUCAAGUGCCUUUGGGGAUUCAAGCUUGGAUUCAAGGUAGGUGAUGGUUGUGAUUUCAUGUCGGUGUAAUACAUGUUUGUAAUUGCUUCAUUAUGAUGCAUGUAUGUAUGCAAAUGUUGCAUAAUUGAUCACCCUAAUCGUAAAUGAGGAUAAUUGAAUAAUUGUAUGCCAUGAAUCAUCUCUGUUGUAUGAUCUUGAUGAUGUACUUGUGUUUAUGAUUGUGAUGUGUAAAUGUCAUCGAAUUUCCACGUUUGGAUCAGAUAGCCACGUUCCAAAAUAAAUAUUGGAUCGGAUUGACACGUUCUGGCAUACAUAUGAGAUCGAUUGCCAAGUUCCAGCAUAAACAUGAAAUUGGCUGCCACGUUCCAGCACACUAACUUGGAUCGAAUACCACGUUCUGGUAUGCUAGCAGUUUGAGUAUGGGUUCCAUAAGAGGACCAUUGAAUUGGGUCCGUGGGAGGAUCAUUGAAUUGUGUUGUGCAUCUACUUGUGAUGAUUAUGUUCAUAUCUAAUGAUGAUUGAUAUUGGAAAAAUGUAUGUUGCUCUAAAUUGAUAACCAAUGUGUAUCAUUAAGAAUAUGGAAUGCUACAUUGAUACUGAAAAAAUGAAUGAUAUUGUAUAGGUUUGGUAUAUGCCUAUUUCAUAAUGUUGUGGUUACUUGCAUGUGUUUCACUUAUUGGGAUAGCCGCGUAGUCCUACCAGUACAUUGUGGGUGCGUGAUGAUACUGCACUUGCUCUUACUUUUGUUGAGUAUAGGGCAUCCUUCGACAGCUAUUAACAUACCUCAUUUAGAGUAUCAGUGAUCGUUUCGAAUUAAAGGGUGAGCUAGUUCUUCCAGGCUUCCUUGAGUUGUCUUUUUUUAAGUCCACUCUCUUCAGACUCAAACUAUUUAUUUAAGGUGUUGUUUAGUUUCGGGGUUUUACCACUUGUUCUUAGACCUGUCGUUAGUUGAGAUUUGGUACAUUGAAUUUCAGGUUCUAGGUAUUUAAUUCCACAUUUGUUUUGUUAAUUAACUUGCUUUCCUAAUUUAAUUGCCUUAGUUUUGGUUAAGUUGCUUAGUUUGGGUUAUAGUAGUGGUUCUCCCACCGGAUGGUUAGUGUGAGUGCCAAUCAGGACGAUCUGGGUCUUCACAAAGAAUUUAUAACAAGACUGUUCUGUUGCAAUUGAAAUAACAUUUAUGUUGCUACAUAUGACUAUAAUAUUUUACAAUAGACAACUGUUGCAACAUCUAUAACAAUAUGUUGGAAACGCGAAUGCAAAUUAUUGAAAAAGUUGCAGGCACCCAGAUCAGAUGAUAGUGAAUUGAUUUCAAUUAACUAUUAAUUUUACUUACCAGAAACAAUGGUGUGUAACCCAAUCGCUUAUGACGUAAUUCCAAUUGAAACAAAACGAAAUUUGGUCCACUAGUUACAGAUUAGGUAAAUCUGAUUCAAGAAGAAGAAAGCACAAGCACUUGCAGCGAAGACCCACAAUGUAAGAAAAGAAGAAGAAGAUGAUGAUGAAGAGAGAGGGAAGAAAGACAAGCAAGCAAGAAAAGACAACAGCAGAAGAAAAAGAAGAAGACAGAGAAGAAGAGGACGAAUAUGACGGCUGGAGGCGAGGGGAAAAACUUUUAUUUCCUCUUUUGGCUCAAUAUUUCCCACCAAAAUUGGUUAAAUUAGGUUUGGUUUAGUCAAUUUACUCUUUUACCCCUCAUUUAAUUCCCAACAAAAGUUGGUUAAAUUAGAUAUUGUGAAAAAUUACCCUUUUACCCUUCAUUUUAUUCAGUGGACCAAACUGUCAACUUAUAAACUUGAGGGCAACUCCACAAUCGUUAAUCAUUAAUCACAUAAUUGUCAUCUACACCCAGUACUUAAGACUUAUGUCACCACCCAUUUAUUUUCAAACCUUAUUGUCACCACUUUUCAAAAAUCCCGAAUUUGUGCCACAGUGGGGGGGGGGGGAUCAGGGAUUUGGGUGGUGUUGUUUCUGUUAAUAAAGUUGUUGGUAGGAAAUCUGUGUUGCUGUUGCUAGUUGUUGAUUUGGUUGGUUUUUUGCAUGUUUUGUCAUUAAGUAUCAAAGUAAGAAGACACCUUGAUAGGGGGAGGUAUUUUAGGAACCACUAUAUUGUUUUCCUUGUUAUUUUGUUGCUCAUACUGCCCCUUUUCAACAGCCUGCACGAUGUGUUUACCCUUCUCAUGCUCAUUUUGACUAGCAACUUUUUUAUUAUUGCAGGGAGUAUUACUAUGAUCAUGGGGCAUUUGCAAGUUAUGAAGUAACAUACCUGUCCUGUUCUUCUUACUGUUGUUUGGAUGGUUCUCUGUACCAUGACUUAUUUGUUGAAUGUUAAUCUCAUUGGAGCUGUUGUUGGCCUUGGCUUUCCCAACUGUUUUCCCAUUUUUGUUUUGCUAAUCACCUGCGCGAAUAUGGAUUUUCAGCUUGUAAAUUGAUUCUUUUCGAACUUA
This is a long non-coding RNA of Solanum pennellii, 10038 nucleotides long. RefSeq lists it as uncharacterized. NCBI's taxonomy places the organism in Eukaryota, Viridiplantae, Streptophyta, Magnoliopsida, Solanales, Solanaceae. The record is from RefSeq and is a predicted model, not a curated record. The transcript is spliced from 2 exons.